CACAAGCCCAGCAGCAGCAGGGGGGUGGAUAGAUCGUAGCACAAUGAAUGCAGUGGGGUUUUUGCAAUGACAUCAUCCCUCUGUCCAAAAGGCCCCAAUAGCCAUGCUCAGGAGCGCUGCCUUCUGGGUACUGUAGUCUUCUUCAAGCCUGGCCGGGACCUUGAGGCUGCUGUCGGAACUACAAUGCCCAGAAUGCGCCGAGGUCGGACGCACCCAGAGCGAACUCUGGCAGCGAAGGAAGCUCGGCCGCCAUAUUGGGGGAGCCAGGCGAUUCUGCGGAGCCGGCUGAGGCUUUAGGCAGCGCGGGAGGCGAGUGGUGGAGCAUUGGGGACGGUUUCGGACCCUCGUUGGUUUUUCAUGCAGAGGGAUUUGCAAAAGGGUCUAAGGAAAUCGAUGUUGGAAGGUAGACAAGCUGCAAAGGGUCGGACGGUGCUUUGGGACCGCAGUUAAGGAAGGAUAAGGAGCGGCCUAAAGGAUAAACACGCCCGGGUUAAAAUGGCAUCUUCAUACCUGCCAGCAAAAGCGGGGAGAGGUUGGAUGGGGAUAUUAUUGACGGCUGGCGAUCGAUUGCCAAGUAGCACAGGUUCUUGGAGUCUGUCUACACUGUGGAAAGAUGGGAGAUUUCUUUUCCUCCUGAGGGUGUCUGAAGGGUUAAAAAUGCUGAUAUACUUUAUGCUGUUUGACUUCCUCCGUUUUGCACCUCGUUCUGAAAACAAAAGUCACUAGUUAUUUUGAGUCAGUAAGCCAUGCAGUUUUGGGAAAGAGCAACCUGUUGGAGUCUGCUGCUCAUCUCUGAAAUGAGGGUGAUUAAUGCCAGUACCUAUCUCACUGAGAAGAGUUUACAUGAUACUAUUGAACAUUCACUGUGUGCACAGAGAUGCUGAGCUAAACUCUUUACAAGAAAUUUAUUUAAUCUUUACAAUAUACUAGUGUGGUAGAGGCUUACUCAUUUUCAGCAAAACAUUUCCUUUUCUUCCUGGACACACAAAAGGACUACAUUUCCUGACCUCCCUUGAAGCUAUAUUAUUGUGUCCUGCCAGUGAGAUAUGGGCAGAAGUAAUGAACACCACCUCCAAGCCUGACCCAUGAACCUUUCCCUUGAAAGCCUCUAUGUUCUCUUCCAUCAUCUGUCAGAGGGACCAGCAGAACCAUUGAGUGCAAGGGCCUCUCUUUUCUCCUCCCCACCUCUAACCUGUAUUGGAUUAUGAUAUGAGCCAAAAAUAAACUCUUGUUAUGUUAAA
Molecule: long non-coding RNA, 1241 nt
Organism: Eptesicus fuscus (big brown bat)
Lineage: Eukaryota; Metazoa; Chordata; Mammalia; Chiroptera; Vespertilionidae
Exons: 4
Source: RefSeq, a predicted model, not a curated record